This 496-nucleotide ribosomal RNA is filed under the name uncultured bacterium. RNAcentral describes it as "partial 16S ribosomal RNA". It matches the Rfam family "Bacterial small subunit ribosomal RNA", at positions 28 to 506 of the family's 1533-position model. The record is from RNAcentral.
GACGAACGCUGGCGGCGUGCCUAAUACAUGCAAGUUGAGCGCUGAAGGUUGGUACUUGUACCAACUGGAUGAGCAGCGAACGGGUGAGUAACGCGUGGGGAAUCUGCCUUUGAGCGGGGGACAACAUUUGGAAACGAAUGCUAAUACCGCAUAAAAACUUUAAACACAAGUUUUAAGUUUGAAAGAUGCAAUUGCAUCACUCAAAGAUGAUCCCGCGUUGUAUUAGCUAGUUGGUGAGGUAAAGGCUCACCAAGGCGAUGAUACAUAGCCGACCUGAGAGGGUGAUCGACCACAUUGGGACUGAGACACGGCCCAAACUCCUACGGGAGGCAGCAGUAGGGAAUCUUCGGCAAUGGACGAAAGUCUGACCGAGCAACGCCGCGUGAGUGAAGAAGGUUUUCGGAUCGUAAAACUCUGUUGGUAGAGAAGAACGUUGGUGAGAGUGGAAAGCUCAUCAAGUGACGGUAACGACCCAGAAAGGGACGGCUAACUACGU